AUGAACCUUAUAAAUUAUAAAUUGAUACUCAUAUUCUACUAUGUACAUAAAAAGAGAUAAUAUGGUUGAAAUUGUCAAAUUUGUGUAUGCUUUAAUUAUCUUUGUUUUUCCAUUUUUCUUUGCAAUCAACGUUGAUGGUAUUAGAUGUAUUCAAGAUUGUGAUUGUCCACAUAAUUUUUGCCCUCCUUCUUAUACACCGAUGUGUAUUAUCGGCCGAUGUAAUUGUGUUUCAAAAACAAUGAAUUCUUAUGAUUGAAAAGUUUUUCAUAUGACCUCCUUACCAAGUGCUUACCAAGUGUGUUGAAUGAAAAAAUAUAACACAUUGAUGUAACUAAAUUUUAAUUUAAUAAUUGUUCCUGUUUUAGGAAAUUAUUUUUGCUA
Long non-coding RNA from Vicia villosa (hairy vetch), 381 nucleotides. RefSeq lists it as uncharacterized. The record is from RefSeq and is a predicted model, not a curated record. The transcript has 2 exons. NCBI's taxonomy places the organism in Eukaryota, Viridiplantae, Streptophyta, Magnoliopsida, Fabales, Fabaceae.